This is a non-coding RNA of Paramuricea clavata, 463 nucleotides long. Lineage: Eukaryota; Metazoa; Cnidaria; Anthozoa; Malacalcyonacea; Plexauridae. The record is from the annotation of a GenBank genome assembly.
AGCUCUUAGAUGCGUGCCAACAUUGAUUCAGAAUUUAAUUUUUCAGGUAAUUACUACUUCCACAAACAUUAUAAAGAACCUUGCAUUUCUGUUCAUAUAUACAAGCAUUAAAAACGCUUUACUGGAAUGCUAUACUAUAGUCCCGCAUUGUUCAUAUACAUGUAUAUGAAGAAUGCUGGACUAAUGUUAUACCAUAUAUGUAACCAAUAUUUAAAGCAUGAGUAGGAGUGUGUACCAUCUAUCGUCUUCAUCCUCCUCUCAUCCGUACUUUCUAACAGUCCAUUUUACUUCAUUUGGGUGAUAGAGUGAGCCGUGUAGAGCUUCUGAUCAACCAUUUAGUAUUUUCUGUGAUCAGUUCAUGUUACUUUACAGUCAACUAAAUUUUAUGCCCUUUGCUUUCAUGCCAUGAUCAUCUUUUCCCAUCAAUAUAAACCGAUUCACUACAUGCUAGCGAACUGAUUAU